GGUUAGCAUAGCUACACAACAUGCUCACCAAUGUUAGCUAGAUUAUGGUAUAUACAAUAGACUGCAAUAUGUUUUAGGUUAGCAUAGCUUAACAACAUGCUCACCAAUGUUAUAUACUACACAACAAUAAAACUUGUUAUCUUAAAAGUUUAUGUUGUAAUGCGUUCACAUGAAGGUACAAAAUGAGGGGGUGGAGCUAAGUUUGGGCUAAAUCAGGUGUGAACACGUUCAUAUUUGAGUGACAUCACCAUGUUCCCAUGUGAUUGUAACAAAGAAAAUUAAAAUUUUAGUUUUGCUGCACAGAAAUGAGUUUGUAGUUCAAAUGAAUUCUGUAUUAAAUCAAAGCAACUUAAUAAAAUGUUGGAUGGAAAAAAAGGUCCAAAGGUCAACAAAAGACACUUGUCCUUCAUUACUUAACAAACAGCAAUGUUGGACUUAAACGUCCAGAUGUUGUCUCUCAACAACGAGUGACAGUGACAGAUAGAAGUGAGGUUGUGUCACAUGACCAGACCACAGGCGACUGCACAAACAUCUGUCCAUGUUUUAUUGACUCAACUACUUCUUCUAUGAAGGCAUAGAUCAUAUAAAAUUAUAAUUUGUUUACAUUUACAGAUCAACCAGCAGCGGUGGUUUUGUGCAAAUCAUUUGCAGUGUGGACACGGACAGCUGCGCGAGGACAGGGCGGAGCCACGUGUACUAAUGUCAAGUAAAAACCUCCUGGAUAAAGUCCAGACAUGGACAGAUGUUCUCACCAGGAAGAGAACCACGCUGACUCCAAUGUAGGCAAAGACAAUGCACAUCCAGAUCUCGUAGGCCAGCGGGUCCAGGAAGGAGAAGACUCCCGGUUUGGAUUUCUGCGGCUUCUUGAUCAUGAUGGAAAUUCCCAGAGACAUGAAGGGUUUGGAGAAAUCAAUCACCUCCUCUCGCACCAAGGUGAUGGUCAGCGGGGCGAUGGCUAUGUCAGCUUUCUGUUAGACAGAGACAUGGAGACAAAGUGUUUGACAGUGUCCACUCUUUAUAGACGUUUAAAAAUGCUGUACCAGUUCUCCCACCAUGCCGUUCCAGAUCUUGGUUUCUGCGUCUCUGGCUCCGUAUUUUCC
This is a long non-coding RNA of Solea senegalensis (Senegalese sole), 1100 nucleotides long. RefSeq lists it as uncharacterized. The record is from RefSeq and is a predicted model, not a curated record. The transcript has 3 exons. NCBI's taxonomy places the organism in Eukaryota, Metazoa, Chordata, Actinopteri, Pleuronectiformes, Soleidae.